This is a long non-coding RNA of Triticum aestivum (bread wheat), 1193 nucleotides long. RefSeq lists it as uncharacterized. The transcript has 6 exons. Lineage: Eukaryota; Viridiplantae; Streptophyta; Magnoliopsida; Poales; Poaceae. The record is from RefSeq and is a predicted model, not a curated record.
AAAUUCAAUGAAGAAGAAGGUGAUUCCAAAGUACCAUGUACAGGAUUAGAAACAUCAACCUUAAGCUAUUUGCCAAAAGAUACAGACCAAGCUUUGCAUUCGAUUUUUACAAAUGGUACAUUAGUAUGACUGUCACCAUUGUAGAGUACUGACUUUUAUGGCAGGUUACCUUGCAUAAAUCUGUAUGAUUCUGACAUUGUGUUUUUCUUUGUUGAAAUGCAUUGUGGGUCUGUACAAUUCGAAAUUUGGUCAGGAUUGACAGAUCGAAUCUCCAGGAAGAGGAAGCUAGCCUCCUUGACCACAGUUCUUUUCCUUCUUAGAAGUUUCAAGACACUCAGGCACAUCACCGAGAACACGCGAGUCGCAACGUUAAGAAUGUGCCACUAACAAAUAUGGAUAUUGUUAACCAUGAAAAAGAACCUAUCAACAAGAGCGAUGUGCAGAUAGAAAUAGCAAAUUCGCGUCAUAACAAACCAAGAAGAGCAAAUACAAAUAUUACAUCACAAGAUUAUAUUUGCACACGGGACGAUAUUUCCGUUAUUAAAUCAAUCAUGUCCUUGCAUGAAAAAACGAAGUUGGUGCACAUCAAUGAUGCAUUAUUAACGAACGCUGAGAUGAGAUGCCUUACGCAUGAUGAUGGGCAAACUUAUAGUUGUUGGGAUUUGGGGUGGCAACUUGAUUGAGAACUCAUAUAGGUGGUCAACAACUGAAGGCAAUAAAUCUAUUGUCCUUGCCACUAUGCUUCGUAAGGAUUGCAAAUACGGAAAUCUAGAAACUUCAAAUUACACCAUCCUUGCAUUCAACCCGGAUCAUACUGCAGCACGCGCACUUGAUGAUAUUCGCCAGAAAAUAAUAGGUGGGUUGAUUGAUAUGAAGUUUGUUCACCGAUUUAUUGAGUGGAGGUGAGCUUUCCUAGCAAGCGAGUUGUCUACAAAGGAUCCCGACACAGGAUGUAUACAAAGAAAGCUCGGCGCAUGUAGUAAGAUAGUAGACAUUGGUUAUGCCUAUUAUAGGAUGUAUACAAAGAAAGCUCGGCGCAUGUAGUAAGAUAGUAGACAUUGGUUAUGCCUAUUACGCAUGAUUGUGUGUUUCAAUUUGUAAGUGUAGUUAUCACGUACUUGUUUUGUAUCUACUAUGUAGGUGACUGUUUCGUCAUGUUUGUUUGUGUCUAUGGUGUUUUAAGGGAUGUGCUA